AGUGAACGCUGGCGGUAGGCCUAACACAUGCAAGUCGAACGGCAGCACAGUAAGAGCUUGCUCUUACGGGUGGCGAGUGGCGGACGGGUGAGGCAUACAUCGGAAUCUACUUUUUCGUGGGGGACAACGUGGGGCAACUUACGCUAAUACCGCAUACGACCUACGGGUGAAAGCAGGGGAUCUUCGGACCUUGCGUGAUUGAAUGAGCCGAUGUCGGAUUAGCUAGUUGGCGGGGUAAAGGCACACCAAGGCGACGAUCCGUAGCUGGUCUGAGAGGAUGAUCAGCCACACUGGAACUGAGACACGGUCCAGACUCCUACGGGAGGCAGCAGUGGGGAAUAUUGGACAAUGGGCGCAAGCCUGAUCCAGCCAUACCGCGUGAGUGAAGAAGGCCUUCGGGUUGUAAAGCCCUUUUGUUGGGAAAGAAAAGCAGCAGGUUAAUACCCCGCUGUUCUGACGGUACCCAAAGAAUAAGCACCGGCUAACUUCGUG
RNAcentral lists this ribosomal RNA (492 nucleotides) under uncultured bacterium. Its description in RNAcentral is "partial 16S ribosomal RNA". It matches the Rfam family "Bacterial small subunit ribosomal RNA", at positions 29 to 507 of the family's 1533-position model. The record is from RNAcentral.